GACGAACGCUAGCGGCGUGCUUAACACAUGCAAGUCGAACGGUAAGGCCCUUCGGGGUACACGAGUGGCGAACGGGUGAGUAACACGUGGGUGAUCUGCCCUGCACUUCGGGAUAAGCCUGGGAAACUGGGUCUAAUACCGGAUAGGACCACUGCCUGCAUGGGUGGGGGUGGAAAGCUUUUGCGGUCGUGGGAUGGGCCCGCGGCCUAUCAGCUUGUUGGUGGGGUGAUGGCCUACCAAGGCGACGACGGGUAGCCGGCCUCAGAGGGUGACCGGUCAGACGGGGGAUGAGGGACUGCCCAGAUUUACAGAGGGGGCGUCAGUGGGGAAUAUUGCAUGAGGGACGCGAGCCUGAUGCGGCGACGCCGCGUGAGGGAUGACGGCCUUCGGGCUGUAAACCUCUUUCAGCAUCGACGAAGAGAAAGUGACGUUAGGUGCAGAAGAAGGACCGGCCAACUACGUGCCAGCCGCCGCCGUAC
RNAcentral lists this ribosomal RNA (479 nucleotides) under uncultured bacterium. Its description in RNAcentral is "partial 16S ribosomal RNA". It matches the Rfam family "Bacterial small subunit ribosomal RNA", at positions 28 to 523 of the family's 1533-position model. The record is from RNAcentral.